GUGAGGCAGGCUAUCAUGCAAGUCGAACGAACUCUGGUAUUGAUUGGUGCUUGCAUCAUGAUUUACAUUUGAGUGAGUGGCGAACUGGUGAGUAACACGUGGGAAACCUGCCCAGAAGCGGGGGAUAACACCUGGAAACAGAUGCUAAUACCGCAUAACAACUUGGACCGCAUGGUCCGAGCUUGAAAGAUGGCUUCGGCUAUCACUUUUGGAUGGUCCCGCGGCGUAUUAGCUAGAUGGUGGGGUAACGGCUCACCAUGGCAAUGAUACGUAGCCGACCUGAGAGGGUAAUCGGCCACAUUGGGACUGAGACACGGCCCAAACUCCUACGGGAGGCAGCAGUAGGGAAUCUUCCACAAUGGACGAAAGUCUGAUGGAGCAACGCCGCGUGAGUGAAGAAGGGUUUCGGCUCGUAAAACUCUGUUGUUAAAGAAGAACAUAUCUGAGAGUAACUGUUCAGGUAUUGACGGUAUUUAACCAGAAAGCCACGGCUAACUACGUGCCAGCAGCCGCGGUAAUACGUAGGUGGCAAGCGUUGUCCGGAUUUAUUGGGCGUAAAGCGAGCGCAGGCGGUUUUUUAAGUCUGAUGUGAAAGCCUUCGGCUCAACCGAAGAAGUGCAUCGGAAACUGGGAAACUUGAGUGCAGAAGAGGACAGUGGAACUCCAUGUGUAGCGGUGAAAUGCGUAGAUAUAUGGAAGAACACCAGUGGCGAAGGCGGCUGUCUGGUCUGUAACUGACGCUGAGGCUCGAAAGUAUGGGUAGCAAACAGGAUUAGAUACCCUGGUAGUCCAUACCGUAAACGAUGAAUGCUAAGUGUUGGAGGGUUUCCGCCCUUCAGUGCUGCAGCUAACGCAUUAAGCAUUCCGCCUGGGGAGUACGGCCGCAAGGCUGAAACUCAAAGGAAUUGACGGGGGCCCGCACAAGCGGUGGAGCAUGUGGUUUAAUUCGAAGCUACGCGAAGAACCUUACCAGGUCUUGACAUACUAUGCAAAUCUAAGAGAUUAGACGUUCCCUUCGGGGACAUGGAUACAGGUGGUGCAUGGUUGUCGUCAGCUCGUGUCGUGAGAUGUUGGGUUAAGUCCCGCAACGAGCGCAACCCUUAUUAUCAGUUGCCAGCAUUAAGUUGGGCACUCUGGUGAGACUGCCGGUGACAAACCGGAGGAAGGUGGGGAUGACGUCAAAUCAUCAUGCCCCUUAUGACCUGGGCUACACACGUGCUACAAUGGAUGGUACAACGAGUUGCGAACUCGCGAGAGUAAGCUAAUCUCUUAAAGCCAUUCUCAGUUCGGAUUGUAGGCUGCAACUCGCCUACAUGAAGUCGGAAUCGCUAGUAAUCGCGGAUCAGCAUGCCGCGGUGAAUACGUUCCCGGGCCUUGUACACACCGCCCGUCACACCAUGAGAGUUUGUAACACCCAAAGUCGGUGGGGUAACCUUUUAGAACAGCCGCCAAGUGAC
RNAcentral lists this ribosomal RNA (1457 nucleotides) under Lactobacillus acidophilus. Its description in RNAcentral is "bacterial SSU rRNA". It matches the Rfam family "Bacterial small subunit ribosomal RNA". The record is from RNAcentral. Lineage: Bacteria; Bacillati; Bacillota; Bacilli; Lactobacillales; Lactobacillaceae.